CCUACAUAAACAUAACGAACUCUUCCUAAUCCCCCCUUUCUCUCCUCUCCCCCAUCCCCUCUCUCUCUCUCUCUCUCUCCAAAAUUCCAAUUCUUCCGAACUCUUCCUUUCUGAUCUUCUCAAUCGCCGCCGUAACGGCAAAUAGAGCUUUGUAUACACGCCGUCGAUGUCAUUUUCCGAUUCCGAAGGCUCCUCCCAUGGCGCUGGCGGAGAGUACAAGACCUUCCGCCAAGUCAGCCGCGAACGGUUAUUGUACGAAAUGGUUCGAUCAUCCAAGACAGGAGAUUCAAGAUCAUCUUGGAAGGUACUCAUCAUGGAUAAAGUUACCGUGAAAGUUAUGUCUUGCUCGUGCAAGAUGGCAGAUAUUACAGAUGAAGGAGUUUCAUUGGUGGAAGACCUUUUCAGGAGAAGGCAACCUUUGCCUUCUAUGGAUGCUAUAUAUUUCAUUCAACCUUCAAAAGAGAACAUAGUCAUGUUUUUGUCUGACAUGUCAGGAAGAGAACCUUUAUACAAGAAGGCAUUCGUAUAUUUCAGUUCUCCAAUCCCUAAGGAAUUGGUUAGUCGUAUAAAAAAUGACACAAGUGUGCUUCCCCGUAUAGGUGCAUUGAGAGAGGUUGAAAUUGUUCUUUUUUUUCCAUUUAAUAAAUCUGGCAAAUGGAUAUUCUUUUUGAACUUUUGUUCUACCUGUGACGUUCUUCUUUCACUUGAUAAUAUGCAGAUGAAUUUGGAAUACUUCUCUAUGGACAGUCAGGGAUAUGUUACUGACCAGGAAAGAGCUUUGGAGGACCUCUUUGGUGAAGAUGUUGAGAAUUCUCGCAAAUUCGAAACUUGCUUAAAUGUAAUGGCUACUCGAAUUGCUACUGUAUUUGCUUCAUUGAAGGAGUUCCCCUCUGUGCGGUAUCGUGCUGCAAAGUCUCUUGAUUCAUCUACAAUGACAACAUUCCGUGACUUAGUUCCUACAAAGCUCGCAGCGGCUGUUUGGAACUUUAUUUCAACGUAUAAAUCUUCCAUUCCUAACUUUCCCCAGACUGAAACUUGCGAGUUGCUUAUCCUAGACAGAUCAGUUGACCAGAUUGCUCCCGUCAUUCAUGAAUGGACUUAUGAUGCCAUGUGCCAUGACCUACUGGACAUGGAUGGAAAUAAAUAUGUGCACGAGAUUCCUAGCAAAACAGGUGGUCAGCCUGAGAAAAAGGAGGUCCUCUUGGAAGAUCAUGAUCCUGUGUGGCUCGAGCUCCGUCAUGCACAUAUAGCAGAUGCUAGUGAGCGGUUGCAUGAGAAGAUGACAAGUUUCGUAUCCAAAAACAAAGCUGCGCAACUUCAACAGAGGGAUGGUAGUGAAAUAUCCACAAGAGACUUGCAGAAGAUGGUUCAGGCUCUGCCUCAAUACAAUGAACAAAUGGAAAAGCUUUCUCUUCAUGUGGAGAUAGCUGGAAAAAUUAACAAAAUCAUCAGAGAAAUGGGACUUAGGGAGCUUGGGCAACUUGAGCAGGAUAUUGUCUUCGGUGAUGCAGGAACAAAAGAAAUCAUCAACUUUUUCAGGACGAAGCAGGAUGCAAAUGUUGAAAAUAAGUUGCGCUUGCUGAUGAUUUAUGCAUCUGUUUAUCCCGAGAAGUUUGAGGGUGACAAAGCUUUAAAGCUUAUGCAGUUGGCAAAAUUAUCAUGUGAAGAUAUGAAGGCUGUCCAAAAUAUGAGAACGCUUGAGGGAGAAAAUGCCAGAAAGACAUCAACUGGGGGUUUCUCUCUCAAAUUUGACGCACAUAAGAGGAAGCAUGCAGCAAGAAAAGAUCGGACAGGAGAAGAGGAAACAUGGCAGCUUUUUCGAUUUUAUCCCGUGCUAGAGGAGUUGAUUGAAAAGCUUAGCAAAGCAGAACUACCAAAGGAUGAGUAUCAAUGUAUGAAUGAGCCAAGUCCAAUGGCCAAUGAGGGCAAAAGGGGUUCCCAGAGUGUAUCAGCAAUGGCAAAUCAACCUUCAGCUGCUCCACAUUCCAUGAGAUCAAGAAGGACCGCAACUUGGGCAAAGCCUCGUCAUUCCGAUGAUGGAUAUUCAAGUGAUUCGGUUUUGAAGAAUGCUGCUAGUGAUUUCAAGAAGAUGGGGCAGCGCAUUUUCAUAUUCAUUAUCGGUGGGGCCACUCGAUCUGAGCUACGGGUUUGUCACAAGCUUACGACAAAGUUGAGGAGGGAAGUUGUCUUAGGUUCAUCUAGUAUUGAUGAUCCACCUCAGUAUAUUACGAAACUGAAGUUGCUGUCAGAAAAGGAACUCUCCCUUGAUGGCAUUAGAAUUUAGAUGAUGGUUAUCAUGGGUUUGUAUAUGCUUUUUUGUGAACAUUAACAGGUUAGCCUUACUAUCUUAGAUACCCCAAAAGUACAUAAUGGAGCUGUCUUUGGCGCUUCA
Molecule: RNA transcript, 2392 nt
Organism: Rhododendron vialii
Lineage: Eukaryota; Viridiplantae; Streptophyta; Magnoliopsida; Ericales; Ericaceae
Gene name: SNARE-interacting protein KEULE-like
Exons: 21
Source: RefSeq, a predicted model, not a curated record